CAACGUGGGGAACCUGCCCCAUAGUCUGGGAUACCACUUGGAAACAGGUGCUAAUACCGGAUAAGAAAGCGGAUCGCAUGAUCAGCUUUUAAAAGGCGGCGUAAGCUGUCGCUAUGGGAUGGCCCCGCGGUGCAUUAGCUAGUUGGUAAGGUAAAGGCUUACCAAGGCGAUGAUGCAUAGCCGAGUUGAGAGACUGAUCGGCCACAUUGGGACUGAGACACGGCCCAAACUCCUAGGGAGGCAGCAGAU
RNAcentral lists this ribosomal RNA (249 nucleotides) under uncultured Lactobacillus sp. RNAcentral describes it as "partial 16S ribosomal RNA". It matches the Rfam family "Bacterial small subunit ribosomal RNA", at positions 113 to 354 of the family's 1533-position model. The record is from RNAcentral. Lineage: Bacteria; Bacillati; Bacillota; Bacilli; Lactobacillales; Lactobacillaceae.